This 460-nucleotide ribosomal RNA is filed under the name uncultured bacterium. RNAcentral's name for it is "partial 16S ribosomal RNA". It matches the Rfam family "Bacterial small subunit ribosomal RNA", at positions 338 to 795 of the family's 1533-position model. The record is from RNAcentral.
CCUACGGGUGGCAGCAGUGAGGAAUAUUGGUCAAUGGACGAGAGUCUGAACCAGCCAAGUAGCGUGAAGGAUGACUGUCCUAUGGGUUGUAAACUUCUUUUAUAUGGGAAUAAAAUGUUCCACGUGUGGGAUUUUGCAUGUACCUUAUGAAUAAGGAUCGGCUAACUCCGUGCCAGCAGCCGCGGUAAUCCGGAGGAUCCGAGCGUUAUCCGGAUUUAUUGGGUGUAAAGGGAGCGUAGGCGGGUUGUUAAGUCAGUUGUGAACGUUUGCGGCUCAACCGUAAAAUUGCAGUUGAUACUGGCAGCCUUGAGUACAGUAGAGGGAGGCGGAAUUCGUGGUGUAGCGGUGAAAUGCGUAGAUAUCACGAAGAACUCCGAUUGCGAAGGCAGCCUGCUGGACUGUAACUGACGCUGAUGCUCGAAAGUGUGGGUAGCAAACAGGAUUAGAUACCCGAGUAGUC